UGGGGAAUAUUGCACAAUGGGGGGAACCCUGAUGCAGCCAUGCCGCGUGAAUGAAGAAGGCCUUCGGGUUGUAAAGUUCUUUCGGUGACGAGGAAGGUUGAUAGGUUAAUAGCCUAUCAAAUUGACGUUAAUCACAGAAGAAGCACCGGCUAACUCCGUGCCAGCAGCCGCGGUAAUACGGGGGGUGCGAGCGUUAAUCGGAAUAACUGGGCGUAAAGGGCACGCAGGCGGUGACUUAAGUGAGAUGUGAAAGCCCCGAGCUUAACUUGGGAAUUGCAUUUCAUACUGGGUCGCUAGAGUACUUUAGGGAGGGGUAGAAUUCCACGUGUAGCGGUGAAAUGCGUAGAGAUGUGGAGGAAUACCGAAGGCGAAGGCAGCCCCUUGGGAAUGUACUGACGCUCAUGUGCGAAAGCGUGGGGAGCAAACAGGAUUAGAUACCCUGGUAGUCCACGCUGUAAACGAUGUCGAUUUGGGGAUUGGGCUUUGAGCUUGGUGCCCGUAGCUAACGUGAUAAAUCGACCGCCUGGGGAGUACGGCCGCAAGGUUA
Molecule: ribosomal RNA, 547 nt
Filed under: uncultured bacterium
Lineage: Bacteria
Description: bacterial SSU rRNA
Rfam family: Bacterial small subunit ribosomal RNA
Source: RNAcentral